This 329-nucleotide unclassified non-coding RNA is filed under the name soil metagenome. Its description in RNAcentral is "partial contains 5.8S ribosomal RNA, internal transcribed spacer 2, and large subunit ribosomal RNA". The stretch from base 1 to 120 matches the Rfam family "5.8S ribosomal RNA", at positions 35 to 154 of the family's 154-position model. The record is from RNAcentral.
GAUGAAGAACGCAGCGAAAUGUGAUACGUAAUGUGAAUUGCAGAUUUCAGUGAAUCAUCGAAUCUUUGAACGCACAUUGCGCCCGCCAGUAUUCUGGCGGGCAUGCCUGUUCGAGCGUCAUUUCAACCAUCAAGCCUUCGCUUGUGUUGGGGCCCCGCGGCUGCCGCGGUCCCCUAAAUCCAGUGGCGGGCUCGUCGUCGUACCGAGCGCAGUAGACAUCCUCGCUCCGGGAACCCGACGGGUGCCGGCCGUGAAACCCCCCACAUCAAGGUUGACCUCGGAUCAGGUAGGAAUACCCGCUGAACUUAAGCAUAUCAAUAAGCGGAGGA